Xenopus laevis (African clawed frog) is the source of this 81-nucleotide non-coding RNA. The record is from Rfam. Lineage: Eukaryota; Metazoa; Chordata; Amphibia; Anura; Pipidae.
UGCAAAAUAUGCUAAAUAUGUUUGGUUUAUUGAGAUAGUGUGGAGAUCUCAAUAAACCAAACAUAUUUAGCACAUUUUGCA